Molecule: ribosomal RNA, 234 nt
Filed under: uncultured bacterium
Lineage: Bacteria
Description: partial 16S ribosomal RNA
Rfam family: Bacterial small subunit ribosomal RNA
Source: RNAcentral
GGCGGACGGGUGAGUAAUACUUAGGAAUCUGCCCAUAAGUGGGGGACAACUAGAAGAAAUUCUAGCUAAUACCGCAUACGCCCUACGGGGGAAAGCGGGGGAUCUUCGGACCUCGCGCUAAUGGAUGAGCCUAAGUCGGAUUAGCUUGUUGGUGAGGUAAAGGCUCACCAAGGCGACGAUCCGUAGCUGGUCUGAGAGGACGACCAGCCACACUGGGACUGAGACACGGCCCAG